AACGAACGCUGGCGGCAUGCCUAACACAUGCAAGUCGAACGAGACCUUCGGGUCUAGUGGCGCACGGGUGCGUAACGCGUGGGAACCUGCCCUUAGGUUCGGAAUAACUCCCCGAAAGGGGUGCUAAUACCGGAUAAUGUCUUCGGACCAAAGAUUUAUCGCCUUUGGAUGGGCCCGCGUUGGAUUAGCUAGUUGGUAGGGUAAAAGCCUACCAAGGCGACGUUCCAUAGCUGGUCUGAGAGGAUGAUCAGCCACACUGGGAUUGAGACACGGCCCAGACUCCUACGGGAGGCAGCAGUGGGGAAUAUUGGACAAUGGGCGAAAGCCUGAUCCAGCAAUGCCGCGUGAGUGAUGAAGGCCUUAGGGUUGUAAAGCUCUUUUACCCGGGAUGAUAAUGACAGUACCGGGAGAAUAAGCUCCGGCUAACUCCGUG
This 433-nucleotide ribosomal RNA is filed under the name uncultured bacterium. Its description in RNAcentral is "partial 16S ribosomal RNA". It matches the Rfam family "Bacterial small subunit ribosomal RNA", at positions 29 to 507 of the family's 1533-position model. The record is from RNAcentral.